CUUUCUGGCUAUCGUUGAGUGCUUGGCCGGCAGAGGCCAUGGUUGUAAGAUGGAAAUGAAGCUAGGAGCCUAGGACUAACGGAUGUGCAGAAAGCAUGCGCAAAUUGUUCUGGAGAGGUCGUAUGCUGUUUGAGCUGAAGGAGAUGGCAACUGAGCCUGUGCCUCAUGUUAUGAAAGCGACAUGCCCAGGUGUUGAGUGCCGGGACGCAAUUGUUGUGGUGGCAGGCCGGCAGCAGAUCAACUUGCCCACAGCUUUGGGUGACGCAUGUUCACACGCUGUCCGGGCGGACAACAACAGGUGGCGCAGAUUAGCAGCGUUACUGCCUAAUACGUCACGUGACCCGUAAUGUGUAUCAGCACACUUCUGAAAUACUCCUGUGGCUAAAACGGGUAAGCAAAUACUUAAUCCACCCGCCAUUGGUUCUGAUAUGUCACAUUCAAAUCGUUACGUGGUGGUGCUGUCCUAUGGUAUCCGGUUUUGGUUGCCCAAAUGAUUUUUGCAUGUUUCAUGUUAGCCAUGGUUCAGCCUAAAAAGGCAGCAACAUUUGAUCUUGCUGAUGAUACUCGGCUUGCCUUGCCUGCAUUAUUGUCGGGACAAAGGUCAUGUGCCAAACUGGGUCAUUGGGUCCCAUCAUUUUGGGAAGAUGCACUUGCAAUUUUGCACGAUAUUUUAUAUAAAUUUCUAGGAACCGGUCACAUCACUGGCAGGUAUUAUAUAAAUUUCUAGGAUAUUCCUCAGUUGCUUCUCUACUGCCAGGAAAAAACAUAGUCUCUUGUUUGGUGUUGAUGCGGUGGCGCAUGCUGGUUGGAAGUUUCUCCUCUUUGGCGUUUGGUCUGUUCUAUCUUUGAACGGCUUAUCCGAGCUAAGAUGCACGAUUUGUAUCAUGACUGCCCCGAACCCAGAGAUCUUUGGAAGCAGCCAAGAAGUAGAGGCUUUAGAAGACAGUCGGAGCACUAGCAAACAAGGUACUCCUGUAGCCUAUUGUGUUUUUCUUCUAGAAAAAGCUGUAUCGAAUUUGAAUUCCCUGUUCAUAUAGGUGAAAGGUAAUUUUGUUGGGGGAAAGUUCAGUUUACACCCUUGAACUAUC
Long non-coding RNA from Panicum hallii, 1088 nucleotides. RefSeq lists it as uncharacterized. The record is from RefSeq and is a predicted model, not a curated record. The transcript is spliced from 3 exons. Lineage: Eukaryota; Viridiplantae; Streptophyta; Magnoliopsida; Poales; Poaceae.